GGUAUUCCUUAUCUGUCUAAUGGUUUGUUUUGGAGCCUGUCUUCCUGUGUUCUGAGGCAAAACACACGAAGACAGGCCCAUCAGUUUAGUUGCCGCUUAAAUGCUUAAC
Hammondia hammondi is the source of this 109-nucleotide non-coding RNA. The record is from Rfam. Lineage: Eukaryota; Apicomplexa; Conoidasida; Eucoccidiorida; Sarcocystidae.